AUGAACGCUGGCGGCGUGCCUAAUACCUGCAAGUCGAGCGAACAGACGAGGAGCUUGCUCCUCUGACGUUAGCGGCGGACGGGUGAGUAACACGUGGAUAACCUACCUAUAAGACUGGGAUAACUUCGGGAAACCGGAGCUAAUACCGGAUAAUAUAUUGAACCGCAUGGUUCAAUAGUGAAGGACGGUUUUGCUGUCACUUAUAGAUGGAUCCGCGCCGCAUUAGCUAGUUGGUAAGGUAACGGCUUACCAAGGCAACGAUGCGUAGCCGACCUGAGAGGGUGAUCGGCCACACUGGAACUGAGACACGGUCCAGACUCCUACGGGAGGCAGCAGUAGGGAAUCUUCCGCAAUGGGCGAAAGCUUGACGGAGCAACGCCGCGUGAGUGAUGAAGGUCUUCGGAUCGUAAAACUCUGUUAUUAGGGAAGAACAAAUGUGUAAGUAACUAUGCACGUCUUGACGGUACCUAAUCAGAAAGCCACGGCUAACUACGUG
Molecule: ribosomal RNA, 496 nt
Filed under: uncultured bacterium
Lineage: Bacteria
Description: partial 16S ribosomal RNA
Rfam family: Bacterial small subunit ribosomal RNA
Source: RNAcentral